CGCUAUCAGACAAAACGAUGCAUUAAUUAUGCGUUACUAUUCCAACGAACAUGACAGCCUAAGUACUGAGGCGGGAAAUGAUGAAGGUCGCGGAAUAGCAGCCGAUACGAAAAACGCGUCGACAUGUUUUUUAGCAAUUGUAUGCUUUUUCGUCUGUAGUUGUCCGGUGUUGGUCCACAAUGGAAUAUGGUACGCUCGUAAAGACACGUUUAGCGACGAGACCCGUAUGCCUCUCUUGUUGUGGGCGCAGACGUUUCUCUCCAUGAAUUCGACAUUUAAUUGCGUGAUAUUCUUUUAUAAGACAACGGCGUUGCGUUGCGAGGGAAAGAAACUACUCAGACGUUGUGGCCUGUUAGUUGAAAAUACGAACGACGCAUCGGUUUGAUUAAAAAGAAACAGCAUACCAUGCUUCCUAUCACCUCUGUUCUAAUUAUGUGAGACCCGUGGAACAAAGUAUUAAAGAGGGAAAUUAUAGUGAACUUGCGCGCCGCCCUUGACAACUGCGUGAGGUCGAGGUGCACUAGAAUUGCAGGGCCGCAGGUGGCGCAAAAAAUGUUCCCCCUCUUUGACUUAUUGUAAUUAAGAAACUAAA
Molecule: non-coding RNA, 592 nt
Organism: Paramuricea clavata
Lineage: Eukaryota; Metazoa; Cnidaria; Anthozoa; Malacalcyonacea; Plexauridae
Source: the annotation of a GenBank genome assembly